UACGUAGGCAGCAAACGUUGUUCGGAGUUACUGGGCGUAAAGAGUACGUAGGCGGUUUGCUAAGUUUGGUGUGAAAUCUCCCGGCUUAACUGGGAGGGUGCGCCGAAAACUGGCGAGCUUGAGUGUGGGAGAGGGAAGCGGAAUUCCUGGUGUAGCGGUGAAAUGCGUAGAUAUCAGGAGGAACACCGGUGGUGUAGACGGCUUCCUGGACCACAACUGACGCUGAGGUACGAAAGCGUGGGGAGCAAACAGG
Molecule: ribosomal RNA, 253 nt
Filed under: uncultured bacterium
Lineage: Bacteria
Description: partial 16S ribosomal RNA
Rfam family: Bacterial small subunit ribosomal RNA
Source: RNAcentral